UCUAAUAUGGCAGAAUAGUGCCAUGAACUUAAGAUUCAUUUAUGAGGGACCCCCCUCUAUUAGAA
RNAcentral lists this transfer RNA (65 nucleotides) under Tuxedo sp. ph57. RNAcentral's name for it is "tRNA-Leu". The record is from RNAcentral. Lineage: Eukaryota; Metazoa; Arthropoda; Insecta; Hemiptera; Miridae.